UAGUGGCGAACGGGUGAGUAACACGUGGGCAAUCUGCCCUUCACUCUGGGACAAGCCCUGGAAACGGGGUCUAAUACCGGAUAACACCGGCUUCCGCAUGGAGGCUGGUUGAAAGCUCCGGCGGUGAAGGAUGAGCCCGCGGCCUAUCAGCUUGUUGGUGGGGUAAUGGCCUACCAAGGCGACGACGGGUAGCCGGCCUGAGAGGGCGACCGGCCACACUGGGACUGAGACACGGCCCAGACUCCUACGGGAGGCAGCAGUGGGGAAUAUUGCACAAUGGGCGAAAGCCUGAUGCAGCGACGCCGCGUGAGGGAUGACGGCCUUCGGGUUGUAAACCUCUUUCAGCAGGGAAGAAGCGAGAGUGACGGUACCUGCAGAAGAAGCGCCGGCUAACUACGUGCCAGCAGCCGCGGUAAUACGUAGGGCGCAAGCGUUGUCCGGAAUUAUUGGGCGUAAAGAGCUCGUAGGCGGCUUGUCACGUCGGGUGUGAAAGCCCGGGGCUUAACCCCGGGUCUGCAUCCGAUACGGGCAGGCUAGAGUGUGGUAGGGGAGAUCGGAAUUCCUGGUGUAGCGGUGAAAUGCGCAGAUAUCAGGAGGAACACCGGUGGCGAAGGCGGAUCUCUGGGCCAUUACUGACGCUGAGGAGCGAAAGCGUGGGGAGCGAACAGGAUUAGAUACCCUGGUAGUCCACGCCGUAAACGUUGGGAACUAGGUGUUGGCGACAUUCCACGUCGUCGGUGCCGCAGCUAACGCAUUAAGUUCCCCGCCUGGGGAGUACGGCCGCAGCUAAAACUCAAAGGAAUUGACGGGGCC
RNAcentral lists this ribosomal RNA (813 nucleotides) under Streptomyces sp. RNAcentral describes it as "bacterial SSU rRNA". It matches the Rfam family "Bacterial small subunit ribosomal RNA", at positions 93 to 920 of the family's 1533-position model. Lineage: Bacteria; Bacillati; Actinomycetota; Actinomycetes; Kitasatosporales; Streptomycetaceae. The record is from RNAcentral.